This 2810-nucleotide ribosomal RNA is filed under the name Klebsiella pneumoniae. Its description in RNAcentral is "bacterial LSU rRNA". It matches the Rfam family "Bacterial large subunit ribosomal RNA". The record is from RNAcentral. Lineage: Bacteria; Pseudomonadati; Pseudomonadota; Gammaproteobacteria; Enterobacterales; Enterobacteriaceae.
CCGGCGAUGUCCGAAUGGGGAAACCCAGUGCAAUUCGUUGCACUAUCGUUAACUGAAUACAUAGGUUAACGAGGCGAACCGGGGGAACUGAAACAUCUAAGUACCCCGAGGAAAAGAAAUCAACCGAGAUUCCCCCAGUAGCGGCGAGCGAACGGGGAGCAGCCCAGAGUCUGAAUCAGCUUGUGUGUUAGUGGAACGGUCUGGAAAGUCCGACGGUACAGGGUGAUAGUCCCGUACACCAAAAUGCACAGGCUGUGAACUCGAAGAGUAGGGCGGGACACGUGGUAUCCUGUCUGAAUAUGGGGGGACCAUCCUCCAAGGCUAAAUACUCCUGACUGACCGAUAGUGAACCAGUACCGUGAGGGAAAGGCGAAAAGAACCCCGGCGAGGGGAGUGAAAAAGAACCUGAAACCGUGUACGUACAAGCAGUGGGAGCACCUUCGGGUGUGACUGCGUACCUUUUGUAUAAUGGGUCAGCGACUUAUAUUCUGUAGCAAGGUUAACCGUAUAGGGGAGCCGCAGGGAAACCGAGUCUUAACUGGGCGUUAAGUUGCAGGGUAUAGACCCGAAACCCGGUGAUCUAGCCAUGGGCAGGUUGAAGGUUGGGUAACACUAACUGGAGGACCGAACCGACUAAUGUUGAAAAAUUAGCGGAUGACUUGUGGCUGGGGGUGAAAGGCCAAUCAAACCGGGAGAUAGCUGGUUCUCCCCGAAAGCUAUUUAGGUAGCGCCUCGUGAAUUCAUCUUCGGGGGUAGAGCACUGUUUCGGCUAGGGGGUCAUCCCGACUUACCAACCCGAUGCAAACUACGAAUACCGAAGAAUGUUAUCACGGGAGACACACGGCGGGUGCUAACGUCCGUCGUGAAGAGGGAAACAACCCAGACCGCCAGCUAAGGUCCCAAAGUCAUGGUUAAGUGGGAAACGAUGUGGGAAGGCACAGACAGCCAGGAUGUUGGCUUAGAAGCAGCCAUCAUUUAAAGAAAGCGUAAUAGCUCACUGGUCGAGUCGGCCUGCGCGGAAGAUGUAACGGGGCUAAACCAUGCACCGAAGCUGCGGCAGCGACACUAUGUGUUGUUGGGUAGGGGAGCGUUCUGUAAGCCUGCGAAGGUGUGCUGUGAGGCAUGCUGGAGGUAUCAGAAGUGCGAAUGCUGACAUAAGUAACGAUAAAGCGGGUGAAAAGCCCGCUCGCCGGAAGACCAAGGGUUCCUGUCCAACGUUAAUCGGGGCAGGGUGAGUCGACCCCUAAGGCGAGGCCGAAAGGCGUAGUCGAUGGGAAACAGGUUAAUAUUCCUGUACUUGGUGUUACUGCGAAGGGGGGACGGAGAAGGCUAUGUUAGCCGGGCGACGGUUGUCCCGGUUUAAGCAUGUAGGCUGGUUAUCCAGGCAAAUCCGGAUAAUCAAGGCUGAGGUGUGAUGACGAGGCACUACGGUGCUGAAGUAACAAAUGCCCUGCUUCCAGGAAAAGCCUCUAAGCAUCAGGUAACAUCAAAUCGUACCCCAAACCGACACAGGUGGUCAGGUAGAGAAUACCAAGGCGCUUGAGAGAACUCGGGUGAAGGAACUAGGCAAAAUGGUGCCGUAACUUCGGGAGAAGGCACGCUGGUGUGUAGGUGAAGUCCCUGCGGAUGGAGCUGAGACCAGUCGAAGAUACCAGCUGGCUGCAACUGUUUAUUAAAAACACAGCACUGUGCAAACACGAAAGUGGACGUAUACGGUGUGACGCCUGCCCGGUGCCGGAAGGUUAAUUGAUGGGGUUAUCCGUAAGGAGAAGCUCUUGAUCGAAGCCCCGGUAAACGGCGGCCGUAACUAUAACGGUCCUAAGGUAGCGAAAUUCCUUGUCGGGUAAGUUCCGACCUGCACGAAUGGCGUAAUGAUGGCCAGGCUGUCUCCACCCGAGACUCAGUGAAAUUGAACUCGCUGUGAAGAUGCAGUGUACCCGCGGCAAGACGGAAAGACCCCGUGAACCUUUACUAUAGCUUGACACUGAACAUUGAGCCUUGAUGUGUAGGAUAGGUGGGAGGCUUUGAAGCGUGGACGCCAGUCUGCGUGGAGCCAACCUUGAAAUACCACCCUUUAAUGUUUGAUGUUCUAACGUUGGCCCCUGACCGGGGUUGCGGACAGUGUCUGGUGGGUAGUUUGACUGGGGCGGUCUCCUCCCAAAGCGUAACGGAGGAGCACGAAGGUUAGCUAAUCCUGGUCGGACAUCAGGAGGUUAGUGCAAUGGCAUAAGCUAGCUUGACUGCGAGCGUGACGGCGCGAGCAGGUGCGAAAGCAGGUCAUAGUGAUCCGGUGGUUCUGAAUGGAAGGGCCAUCGCUCAACGGAUAAAAGGUACUCCGGGGAUAACAGGCUGAUACCGCCCAAGAGUUCAUAUCGACGGCGGUGUUUGGCACCUCGAUGUCGGCUCAUCACAUCCUGGGGCUGAAGUAGGUCCCAAGGGUAUGGCUGUUCGCCAUUUAAAGUGGUACGCGAGCUGGGUUUAGAACGUCGUGAGACAGUUCGGUCCCUAUCUGCCGUGGGCGCUGGAGAAUUGAGGGGGGCUGCUCCUAGUACGAGAGGACCGGAGUGGACGCAUCACUGGUGUUCGGGUUGUCAUGCCAAUGGCACUGCCCGGUAGCUAAAUGCGGAAGAGAUAAGUGCUGAAAGCAUCUAAGCACGAAACUUGCCCCGAGAUGAGUUCUCCCUGAGACUUUAAGUCUCCUGAAGGAACGUUAAAGACGAUGACGUUGAUAGGCCGGGUGUGUAAGCGCAGCGAUGCGUUGAGCUAACCGGUACUAAUGAACCGUGAGGCUUAACCUUACAACGCCGAAG